Molecule: RNA transcript, 2936 nt
Organism: Aethalodelphis obliquidens (Pacific white-sided dolphin)
Lineage: Eukaryota; Metazoa; Chordata; Mammalia; Artiodactyla; Delphinidae
Gene: TSNAX
Gene name: translin associated factor X
Exons: 8
Source: RefSeq, a predicted model, not a curated record
GUCGACGUCGGCCGGCUGCGCAGGUUAGCGCUUCAGGGUCUUCGGCCGCUGCUGUACGCAUCGUGCACGCCCCGAGGCGCGGAGUGUCGUCUCUUCUCGCCGUAGGCCGUGACGACAUGAGCAGCAAAGAAGGAUCAGGAGGGUUCAGGAAAAGGAAGCAUGACAAUUUCCCACAUAACCAGAGAAGAGAAGGGAAGGAUGUUAAUUCCUCUUCACCUGUGAUGUUGGCCUUCAAAUCAUUUCAACAGGAACUUGAUGCAAGACAUGACAAAUACGAGAGACUUGUGAAACUUAGUCGGGAUAUAACUGUUGAAAGUAAAAGGACAAUUUUUCUCCUCCACAGGAUUACAAGUGCUCCUUAUAUGGACGAAAUACUGACUGAAGCAGAAAUUAAAUUGGAUGGUGUCAGACAAAAGAUAUUGCAGGUAGCCCAGGAGCUCUCAGGAGAAGACAUGCAUCAGUUCCACAGAGCCAUUACUACAGGACUGCAGGAAUAUGUGGAGGCUGUCUCUUUUCAACACUUCAUCAAAACACGAUCACUUAUCAGUAUGGAUGAAAUUAAUAAACAAUUGAUUUUUUCAACAGAAGACAAUGGGAAAGAAAAUAAGACUGAAGAAAGUGAACAGCCUUGGUUGUGGGGAGGAUCGAUGCAUCCUAUUCGGUGGAAGCAUGAAGUCGCCUGGAGGUUUAAACCUAGCUGGAAAGGUGUGAGUGCCGCCUAGCCAGAGGAGUAGACCGUGCCGGGCACUGCCUGCUGAUACUUGGGCAAGAGAGAGGAGAGGAGAGAGAUUGAGAGAGAGCGAUUGAGAAUCCUGUUGAAUCUCUGAGGUAAAAAGUCAAGGGAAACCUUUCUGACAAAGAGAGAAGCCCGGCUGCAGCCAACUUUGUCACGAAUUAGCUCCCUGCUGCCAUCUAAGGGCACAGAUAGAGGGCCGCUCUAAGAAAGUAACACGAACCGUGAGAGGCUUCAGUGACGGAAAUUUGCGGCACAGUUCUGAGCGCAGGAUGGGCUCUUUCUGAGGCUAUGAGGAGGGCUCUGCUCCAGGCCCCUCCCCUAGUUUCUCGUGGUUUGCUGGUCAUCUUUGUUGUUCUUUGGCUGUGGAGGCGUCACCCCGAGUCUCUGCCUUCAUAUUCAUAUGGCACUCUCCCUGUGUGCAUUUCUGUCUCCAAAUUCCCCCUUUAUUAAGGACACCAGGCACAUUGGAUUAGGCCACCCUAGUCCAGUACGACGCGAUCUUAAAUAAUGACACCUGCAACAGCCUAUUUCUAAAUAUGGUUACAUUCCGAGGUGAAAGGGGUAAGAACUUCAACUCGUGGAUUUUGGUGGAGACCACGAUUCAACCCAUAAAAUUCCUUCUUUUGAAGUUCUUCCCCUACUUCACUUAUAUUUUGUUCAUGGAACGUGUCACAUUCUAUGUGGCUGUGUUGCCUCUCCUUCUAAACUGCAAGAUCCUUGAAGUCUGGUUCAUCUUCAUAUAACCUGAAGCGCCAAGCGCAGAGGAUGGAUAAAUGUUUGUCAGGGGCCUUACGUAUUUUUCGCUAUGGCUGUCAUCUCUGGUACGUAGGUUGGGCUAUACCUCCAAAUGGCAAGAGGCAGGAUUUUAUUAAAAUGGAGGCAAUACAGACUUUUUCUCUGUACCUGUCUGCAUGCAGUUACGUUUGUGUGCCCUUGUUGAAGGCAGGACAAAGUGAUUGGGUUUCAAAGUCAGGCAGACGACCCAGGCUAUGACAGUCCACGGCAUCAGCCAGGAAUAUGAGGAAGGGAAGAGAGAGAGACAGAGAGGCAGAGACAGAGAGAGAAGGAAACAAGUAUGCCUUUCAGAGGUCCUGCAGGGUAUGAAGGGAGGGAGUGAGCAUGAAAACAAAACCAAUUACCGGUAACCAGGAUACAUGGUAAAGGGGCAAAAUAUCUGUGCCAGUGUCUGUGCCAGCGUCUAUGCCAGCCCAAGGGUCUGGGCGACACAAGCACACGUGCCAGAAGCAAGAAGCGAAUUUGAUGAUGAGCCAGGCCGUUGCCUUUUUCCAGAAAGCUUGCAUCACUGUGAAGGAAGUCCAGCCGAUCUGGGCCCCUCAGCGGGAGGAGGGGAAGCAUGUGGCUGGAGCAGGGAAGGUGGCUCAUCUUGCCCCCGCCAGCCUCAGCAGCCGGUGCCUGGCUCACAGAGGGGUGGCCUUCAUUUGCUGUUCAUUCAAAGUACUGAACUAGACAACUAGAAAAGAAGAAUUAAGUCAUGGUCCCUUCACUCGAGGCUUACAGAUUUACAGGGAAUAAAACACAGUCAAGAAAAAGUAAACAGCCAUCCAGUGGUUGCCUGCUAAGUACUAGGAAGUUCCAAAGUUAGUGGGAAAGGGGGCCUCUCUGGUGAGGGAGAGUCUAUCUCAAAGUGUGGUCCUUGGACGGUGGCAUCCGUGUCACCGGGAGCUUGUUAGAAAUGCAGCUUUUCAGGCUGCACUCCAGACUUCCUAAAUCAGGGUCUCUGGAGAUGGGACCAAGGAAUCUGCAUUUAAGCAGUGAGGGGGGUGGAUUCUUAAGCUUAUUGAAGUUUAGGAGGCACUGCACUUAGGAGUAGUGGGCACGAUGGGAAUCGAACCAGGAGGCAGGAAGGGAAAGGGGGAGAUGCAGAUAAAGAGUAAGUGAGUAGGAGAGUGAUGUAGGGGUCUGAUGGCGAACUUAAAACUUUCAAAGCCUUUGUUUAGGAACUCAGGAGUCUGCAGGAGUAGCGAACAGGGUGAGUAGGAGAGCAGCACGCAUCUCUGGAAUGCCAGAACUUGGCUUUAUCAUUUCGAUUAGCAUUUCCCAAAAACCUAUUCCUCAGAGAUGCUCCAUGAAGAAAGGGUUCCAAGAGCAGAUACAUUUGGGAAACAUUGGAUUCUGUUCAUGCCUCCUGGAGAUUUACAGUACACGUGAGCACAUUAAAGGCAUUAAAAUUCCUUUAAAA